This 786-nucleotide ribosomal RNA is filed under the name uncultured bacterium. Its description in RNAcentral is "bacterial SSU rRNA". It matches the Rfam family "Bacterial small subunit ribosomal RNA", at positions 27 to 782 of the family's 1533-position model. The record is from RNAcentral.
GGACGAACGCUGGCGGCGUGCUCCACACAUUUCAAAGUCGAACGGAAAGGCCCUGCCUUGCAGGGUUACUCGAGUGGCGAACGGGUGAGUAACACGUGGGUGAUCUGCCCUGCACUUCGGGAUAAGCCUGGGAAACUGGGUCUAAUACCGGAUAGGAGCCAUUUUUAGUGUGAUGGUUGGAAAGUUUUUUCGGUGUAGGAUGAGCUCGCGGCCUAUCAGCUUGUUGGUGGGGUAAUGGCCUACCAAGGCGGCGACGGGUAGCCGGCCUGAGAGGGUGGACGGCCACAUUGGGACUGAGAUACGGCCCAGACUCCUACGGGAGGCAGCAGUGGGGAAUAUUGCACAAUGGGCGCAAGCCUGAUGCAGCGACGCCGCGUGGGGGAUGACGGCCUUCGGGUUGUAAACUCCUUUCGCUAGGGACGAAGCUUUUUGUGACGGUACCUAGAUAAGAAGCACCGGCUAACUACGUGCCAGCAGCCGCGGUAAUACGUAGGGUGCGAGCGUUGUCCGGAAUUACUGGGUGUACAAGGGCUCGUAGGUGGGUUUGUCGCGUCGUCUGUGAAAUUCCGGGGGCUUCACUCCGGGGCGUGCAGGCGAUACGGGCAUUAACUUGAGUACUGUUACGGGGGGUUAACCUGGGAAAUUCCACGGUGUAAGCGGUAGGAAAUGCGCCAGAUUAUCAGGGAGGGAAACACCGAUUGGCCGAACGGCACGAGGUUCCACUGGGCCAGUUAACUGAACGCCUUAAGGAACCGAAAGCCAUUGGGUAGACGAACAGGCAUUAUU